RNAcentral lists this ribosomal RNA (584 nucleotides) under uncultured bacterium. RNAcentral describes it as "partial 16S ribosomal RNA". It matches the Rfam family "Bacterial small subunit ribosomal RNA", at positions 355 to 1375 of the family's 1533-position model. The record is from RNAcentral.
UGGGGAAUUUUGGACAAUGGGCGAAAGCCUGAUCCAGCAAUGCCGCGUGUGUGAAGAAGGCCUUCGGGUUGUAAAGCACUUUUGUCCGGAAAGAAAUCCUUGGCUCUAAUACAGUCGGGGGAUGACGGUACCGGAAGAAUAAGCACCGGCUAACUACGUGCCAGCAGCCGCGGUAAUACGUAGGGUGCAAGCGUUAAUCGGAAUUACUGGGCGUAAAGCGUGCGCAGGCGGUUUGCUAAGACCGAUGUGAAAUCCCCGGGCUCAACCUGGGAACUGCAUUGGUGACUGGCAGGCUAGAGUAUGGCAGAGGGGGGUAGAAUUCCACGUGUAGCAGUGAAAUGCGUAGAGAUGUGGAGGAAUACCGAUGGCGAAGGCAGCCCCCUGGGCCAAUACUGACGCUCAUGCACGAAAGCGUGGGGAGCAAACAGGAUUAGAUACCCUGGUAGUCCACGCCCUAAACGAUGUCAACUAGUUGUUGGGGAUUCAUUUCCUUAGUAACGUAGCUAACGCGUGAAGUUGACCGCCUGGGGAGUACGGUCGCAAGAUUAAAACUAAAGGAAUUGACGGGGUCAUAGCUGUUUCCU